CGCUGACAGGAAUACAGGCGCUACGUUUUCACUUGGUACGACCUGAACGCUGCAUCAACGUUAAUGAGACAAAAAAUAAGUUCAGCAGCGAUCACACGGCGUCCUCACCAAGGAGGAGGAGCUCUUCCUGCUGUUUCAUUGUCUCAGUCUCCGCCCCCACCUGUGCUGUCUGCUGAGGACGAACCUUUGAUGAGCAGGUAUCAGUGAUAUCUGCACAUGUUCAGACGUACCGCUGUGCAGAGAGCCAUCCUCUGGGAAGUCUGCGUCCAGCAUGAGAUCA
This is a long non-coding RNA of Maylandia zebra (zebra mbuna), 280 nucleotides long. RefSeq lists it as uncharacterized. The record is from RefSeq and is a predicted model, not a curated record. Lineage: Eukaryota; Metazoa; Chordata; Actinopteri; Cichliformes; Cichlidae.